Raphanus sativus (radish) is the source of this 758-nucleotide long non-coding RNA. RefSeq lists it as uncharacterized. Lineage: Eukaryota; Viridiplantae; Streptophyta; Magnoliopsida; Brassicales; Brassicaceae. The record is from RefSeq and is a predicted model, not a curated record. The transcript has 3 exons.
AUGUAAAAGUCUUGAUUCUAAACUCAAGUUCCUUGGUGUUACUUGUGUCAUCAUAUUCAACAUUAUGAUGCUGGUAACUCAUGUUGCAACAAUCGCAAUAGUGGUGGAGACGAAGAGCGUUGAGCUCAUGCCAUUUUCCUUAGUGCUCUUUGGUUUCAUAAACUCCAUAGUCUGGAUGGCUUACUCUUUGAUCUACAAAAUCAAUAUUUACCUCUUUAUAUGCAGUGCGAUUGGCGCAUUCUUGAGUGCUUCUGAGAUAGUCAUUUAUGCUCUGUACAGACACAAGGUUAAAACAUGCAAGGUGAAGUCAGCUUGAGAGAUGGAAGAAUUUACCUCAAUUGUGAACUCUAUCAAUGCAUCUAAUAUUACGAAUGUUUGAAUAUUCUGGAUUCGUUUCUUUUAUCUGUAGAGAAACGUAACUAGUCUAACAUGUCUUGUUUUAAGAGAAAUUGAACUCUAUACGCGGAAACUAAACGAUAUUUGACAAACACAUGUUCACUAUUGAUAACAUCAAUACGUUUUUGCUCCUAUAUACUUGAUAGCUCUAGAGCACAGGUAGUCAGGUAGCAUGAUCUUUUUUACUCUGUGAGCACGGUCACAUGGCUUCAGCUCAGGGUGUGGCAAGAGACGUUAUUAAAGAAGAAUGCAUGGACAAUCUUGCGUCUACACUUCCAUUGAGUCUCUACACCUAUCCAACUUUCUAAAUUCUGGUUUGUUCGCUUAACUCAGGAUUUGACUCAGGAUGGUCCAUUGUUAAU